AAUCAGCGGGUUCUAAUCGGUCUAAAGCUGCACCAACGAGAUCAGUAGUCCAAAUCAUGGAGUGUUGGAGUUGGAUGCGAUAACCAACGAUCUGGACGCAGCUUGUAUCAGAUCUCAGAAAUGCGGAAGGGCGGGGAUCGGGUCGAUGAUCCUAAGUAGAAGCGUCAUUUCUUGGUGGAUUUCGUAGUUCGCUUGGCGUCGGGAUUGCGGCGGGGAAGCGGAGACGAGAAAGGAUUUCCGAUGUAAGUUCCUUUUGGAGAGAAAUCACAAAUGGUGCGACAUGUCAAAUCUGCCAUCUCCAUCCGGGAUAAUCGAAGAAGCUAUAUAGUUGAACCUACUUUGAAAACCUUUGCGUGCACAUGAAAUUAAAGUGUUUGAUGACUAUUGUUGGGCAUCAAAAGGUUAUGAUGCCCCAACCUGGAGGAGUGUUUUGUCCCUGUGAAAUGGACAUGCUGGGGAGGUCGGCCAUAUUCCAUCUGGGCCCCUUUCUGUGCUCUCUCUCAUGAAACAUUUGGUGAACUGCCACAGGAUUAUUAUUGCAGGUCGGUGCUAGUCCAAUUAGCAAUUGGUGUGGGGUGGCUGUCUAUUGAUUACAUCAAGAUUCGUGCAGACAGGCAUUGGUCGCGUUGACUUUGAAGUGACAAGAGAAGUUAGCCAUUUGCAAGAUAUCACAUCUUAUUUAGAGCUAUCUUGGAGGAAGAGUGUCUUAUUCAACUAGACAAAGUUUUCAACCAGUACUUGAUGGCCCAUGAAGAGGUGGUUAUUAUUAAAAAAAUGAUUUUUUUUUCUAUCAGAAUGUUCCAGAUAGAGAGAUAAGCAAUAUUGCAAUCAUUUAAAAAAUAAUAUGGUUAUUUUGAUGAUUUUGAGAGAGUUUAGGAUAACUUUCACACAUAAUAAGUGGGGCUUAAUAAUAGUGCAUGUAAUUUUUGUAUAAGAAAACUGCUUUAGAAAGUAGUAAAAAAGUUAUCCCAAAUGAAGCCUUAGACUUAUUUUGGAACGGCUUUCUUAUUAUUUUUUAAUACAAAAAAAAAAUGAAAAAUAAAUUUAUAUGCUAAAAAAUUAUUUUAGAAAAUAAUAAGAAAGCCGUAUCAAAUAAAUUAUUAAACUCCCCCAUUUAAUUAACAAUGAUUGAGAAUAUAGAGGUAAAAGGUGAUGUAGCAUAAUGGGGGUUUUUUAUUUUUGGUCUAAAAUGAGUCAAAUCACUAUUGAAUAAAUCCAAAACUCCUUAAAAAUUUAUAUAAUUUCUCAAGCCAUUUUAUUAUUUUUUUCGUAUUCAUUACGCCAAUUUCUAUUAUUGCUGCACCGAAACAUCUGUUUAUUUGCCAGAUCAAAAAUUAUUAUUAUUAUGUUAACAGUUCUUCUCCUAUAUGAAUAUCCAUAUAAAUCUUUGUCUUAUCUUCCAAACUAUUCACACAGCAGUGAUGUUUACUGAUUACAUAAGAAAAUAAAUUUUGUAUUAAAAUCUGAUUCAAUUAGACCAUUAAAAUCC
Long non-coding RNA from Dendrobium catenatum, 1489 nucleotides. RefSeq lists it as uncharacterized. Lineage: Eukaryota; Viridiplantae; Streptophyta; Magnoliopsida; Asparagales; Orchidaceae. The transcript has 6 exons. The record is from RefSeq and is a predicted model, not a curated record.